GAUGAACGCUGGCGGCGUGCCUAAUACAUGCAAGUCGAGCGAACAGACGAGGAGCUUGCUCCUCUGACGUUAGCGGCGGACGGGUGAGUAACACGUGGAUAACCUACCUAUAAGACUGGGAUAACUUCGGGAAACCGGAGCUAAUACCGGAUAAUAUAUUGAACCGCAUGGUUCAAUAGUGAAAGACGGUUUUGCUGUCACUUAUAGAUGGAUCCGCGCCGCAUUAGCUAGUUGGUAAGGUAACGGCUUACCAAGGCAACGAUGCGUAGCGGACCUGAGAGGGUGAUCGGCCACACUGGAACUGAGACACGGUCCAGACUCCUACGGGAGGCAGCAGUAGGGAAUCUUCCGCAAAGGGCGAAAGCCUGACGGAGCAACGCCGCGUGAGUGAUGAAGGUCUUCGGAUCGUAAAACUCUGUUAUUAGGGAAGAACAAAUGUGUAAGUAACUAUGCACGUCUUGACGGUACCUAAUCAGAAAGCCACGGCUAACUACGUG
Molecule: ribosomal RNA, 497 nt
Filed under: uncultured bacterium
Lineage: Bacteria
Description: partial 16S ribosomal RNA
Rfam family: Bacterial small subunit ribosomal RNA
Source: RNAcentral